UACAGAGGUCCCGAGCGUUGUUCGGAUUCACUGGGCGUAAAGGGCGUGCAGGCGGUUUGUUAAGUGCAGGGUGAAAGCUCCCGGCUCAACUGGGAGAGGUCCUUGCAUACUGGCGAACUCGAGGGAGGCAGAGGAAAGUGGAAUUCCCGGUGUAGUGGUGAUAUGCGUAGAUAUCGGGAGGAACACCUGUGGCGAAGGCGGCUUUCUGGGCCUUACCUGACGCUGAGACGCGAAAGCGUGGGGAGCGAACCGG
This 253-nucleotide ribosomal RNA is filed under the name uncultured bacterium. RNAcentral's name for it is "partial 16S ribosomal RNA". It matches the Rfam family "Bacterial small subunit ribosomal RNA", at positions 524 to 776 of the family's 1533-position model. The record is from RNAcentral.